CGGCUCGAACAUGUGACCUCCUAAUUAUGUGGCAACAACUUUAGCAGUUACUUCUUACCCAAACAGUAAAUUGAUGCAAAAAAUUACAUGAAAUAACUUUUUAAUUAUUGAAUAAAAAAAAGGAAGAUCAGUAUUAGGUGAAAGGCGUACCAGAGAGGAGGAGGAAAGUGAGAACAACGACUUUGCUAUUAGUCAUGCUUGUUUAG
RNAcentral lists this long non-coding RNA (206 nucleotides) under Nicotiana benthamiana. Its description in RNAcentral is "long non-coding RNA (NBEN_LNC000645)". Lineage: Eukaryota; Viridiplantae; Streptophyta; Magnoliopsida; Solanales; Solanaceae. The record is from RNAcentral.